GGCGUGGUAGCUCAGCUGGUUAGAGCGCAGCACUCAUAAUGCUGAGGUCGGCGGAUCGUGCCCGCCCCCACGCUA
This 75-nucleotide transfer RNA is filed under the name Nonlabens ulvanivorans. RNAcentral's name for it is "tRNA-Met". It matches the Rfam family "tRNA". Rfam says of the family: Transfer RNA (tRNA) molecules are approximately 80 nucleotides in length. Their secondary structure includes four short double-helical elements and three loops (D, anti-codon, and T loops). The record is from RNAcentral. Lineage: Bacteria; Pseudomonadati; Bacteroidota; Flavobacteriia; Flavobacteriales; Flavobacteriaceae.